This 277-nucleotide ribosomal RNA is filed under the name uncultured bacterium. RNAcentral's name for it is "partial 16S ribosomal RNA". It matches the Rfam family "Bacterial small subunit ribosomal RNA", at positions 28 to 326 of the family's 1533-position model. The record is from RNAcentral.
GAUAAACGCUGGCGGCGUGCCUAACACAUGCAAGUCGAACGCCCUUGAGCAAUCAAGGGAGUGGCGGACGGGUGAGUAACACGUGGGUCAUCUACCCAAAGGUGAGGGAUACCGGCGAGAAAUCGCCGACAAUACCGCAUACGCUCGUAAGAGCAAAGUCGCAAGACGCCAUUGGAUGAGCCUGCGCCCGAUUAGUUCGUUGGUGGGGUAAAAGCCUACCAAGACCGCGAUCGGUAGCUGGUCUGAGAGGACGAUCAGCCACACUGGGAUUGAGAAC